UACGUAGGGGGCAAGCGUUGUCCGGAAUCAUUGGGCGUAAAGAGCGUGUAGGCGGCCAGCUAAGUCCGCUGUGAAAUCUCGAGGCUCAACUUCGAGCUGUCGGUGGAAACUGUCUGGCUAGAGUCCGGAAGAGGAGAAUGGAAUUCCUGGUGUAGCGGUGAAAUGCGCAGAUAUCAGGAGGAACACCGGUGGCGAAGGCGGGUCUCUGGGCCGUAACUGACGCUGAGGAGCGAAAGCGUGGGGAGCGAACAGG
Molecule: ribosomal RNA, 253 nt
Filed under: uncultured bacterium
Lineage: Bacteria
Description: partial 16S ribosomal RNA
Rfam family: Bacterial small subunit ribosomal RNA
Source: RNAcentral